This 851-nucleotide long non-coding RNA is filed under the name Olea europaea subsp. europaea. The record is from RNAcentral. Lineage: Eukaryota; Viridiplantae; Streptophyta; Magnoliopsida; Lamiales; Oleaceae.
UCCACCUCCAUCUAUUUAAUAUAGCCUUGGCCAUAGUUUGGGCAUCUUCUCUUUCCAAGGCAAUCUGGCAAGAUGUAUCUUAACUGUCUACAUGAAUAACAUAUCCCCUUAUUUCUUCCAACCAUUGAAGAAUUCUAAUAGAACAACAACAAAAAACUACAUCACAAUAAUGUCCGAAUUGGCAAGUUAGAAUAAACCCAAAUGUAAAUGAAACAAUUUUCUCCAAUGGACAUAUAACUGUGGCUCGAAUUUUCUUUAGGAAAUAAACCACAUUUAAAGGUUACUAUGGGUGGAAUUUGCAUAAAGAAAAGCACGAAGAUACUUCCGCAGUGACUCUUCCUCCGAAAAACUAAUUCGAUUAAAGAACGAAAAAACACUUCCAUCGUAACAGUACCAAAACCCACCCCAAGAUGAAGAUCUUUACAAAUAAAGGGACAUUUUGAAAACACACAUUUCCCAAUUGUACAGUCGUCGGAUGUGAAUCAACUGUCCAAAUAUAUAAGCUACUCAUUUUAAAAAACCCAAAUCGAACAUCUAUAAAUACAGCACCUCCCAAAAAUAUUUCUAGUCAUUUAAAAAACAUACAUUUUUUGUGGUUGAUACUGAUUUAAAAACCCCAAAAUGAAGAUCUAUAAAUAAAGCACCCAAAAAAAAGUUUCCAGUCAUUUCAAAAACAUAUCGAACAUGGUGUCACCAGAUGUAGUUUAUCAACAUAGUCACCAGACCUGGAGUCGUCAGAUGUGGCUUUGCAACCGAGAGGCCUCUAAUAUAGGAUAAAGUGUGUGAGGAGAAAGAGGAGAGAGAUUAUCUAACUUUAGGAUGGGUUUUGGUUUAGAUAGGGUCUGAAUUUG